UUGGAGGAGCUGAGGGAUGGAGUCAGAUCACUGCAUCACCAGCACUGAUGUUGGCUUUUAAACCAGUAGAAGUGAGGUUGGAGGUAACGGCAGCAUCCCCCUACCAGCCAAAUGCACCAACAAGCAGGAUUGAAUGGGAGACCAAAGGACAGAGUUUUCUACGUCUUCCCACAGAAGGGCUCAACGGAGCAGAUCCAGGCAGACAAAGGCAAAGGAGCUGAGAGACAGGUUAAAAACAAAUGCAGAUAUCCUCUGGAGGACACGGGUCAGCUCAGAAGUCUCAGGCAUUUAAACUUAACCAGCGACUGUGAAAGCAUUUCCAAAUCAGAAAGAAACUCCGCAGUGAAAAGGGCGAAAGAGGAGAAAAUCCCUAUUUUGUGACCUCAGGAAAAAGGAAAGUAUUUUUACAUAUUUCUUGUCUCAUAUUAAUUUGGGGGUGGGAGUUAAUAACCAUCUAAAGGCCAUCACUCACAACAGCGGUCCCAUUGGGACACAACCCUUCUGUACAGCUCUGGGUGCUGAUGCCCAGCAGGGGCUGAGCCCAUCCUCUGAGAUCCCAGGGGAGCACAGCAUCGCAUGGGCUCGGUCUGCCACUGCUCUGCAAGGAGCUCAGCCCCAGAGCAGGGCUGUAGGAACAAAGAGAAGUUCAUACAGAAAUCAGCUGAAAACCCGAGCGCGUAUUUUACCAAAUCGUUCCUAACGUUGCUCUGUGUUAUUUUGUUUCAAAGCAUGACAAAUGGAAACAAAAGAAACUGCAGACGUAGACCAAGAACAAAAGGCUGAGUGGCUGCACAAAGUGGAUGAGUAAAACGAAGGUAGCGAGCCUCAAGCUUCUCUAAAUGUCUUUCUAAUGCUAAUUAAAGCACCGCACGGAAUUUCCCAUGGGAGGCGUCGUGGAAAUUGAGCCUUGAGGUGGGAGUCUGAGUGAGGGAGAAAAAAAUUCUCUGCUGGGUUUCUCCCCCCUCCUCCCCCGGUCCUGUCUCACUCCAUCACUAUGCUGCUGUCUUGACAAAGUCCCAGCCCUGACCUCGAGGCCCCAAGCCAGUCCAGAGCCCUUCCUGCACCACACAGUGUGAGCAUCUCAUCCAGCAUCUCAUCCUCUGCGCUCUCUGGAAUCAUCUCAAGCCAUGUUCGCAGAGAUCAGACUUGGGAAGGACGCACGCUUACAGCAUGUUCCUGUUUCUCUACAAAGACCAAGCAACCAGCUUCCUUUCAGACUACUUCCAAACCUCACCCGUGCCUCAGCCACAUGAAAAGACAGAUGGAGGCAGAAAGCAGCUCAGCUCCACCGCUGUAGGCUCACGCACGCAUCGGGGCACCAGUCAGCAGCUGAUGGCACCAAGGACACUUGCAGGGAUGGACUAACACCAGCACUCUGCUCCUGCAUUCAACCUGGAAAGACUGUUAAUGCAAAGCAAACAAGAAAGGAGCAGACCUUAAACCACCAUCCCAGCCCAGCAUCCCUACAGAAGGUCUUGUACAGACAUGAGCCCUGCAUGCCUGCUCAGCUCCAGUGCAGCGUGUGGGGAAUUUGGUAAUUGUAUCGUGUGAUGGUUUUGCAGUUGAUAAGCAGCAGCCUUCCUCCUGCAAUGCUGUUAGUCUGGCUUCUUUAUGAAAACAACAUUUGUUUUCAAAAAAAAAAAGAAAAGAAAAGAUACUUAUGGCUGAUAAGUAUUAUUUGAUCAUUUUUGUGAAAUUUAAUUUGUUUUAUACUCAAUGCUCUCCAAACUACUAUGCAAAGUUAUACUUUAAGCAAAAAUGAUAUAAAUCAAAAAUAAACUCAAAAAAUCCUCACCCCUUUAAAGUACUGCUUGAGUAUUAUUUAACCACGAUGCAUGCAAAUUAAAUUCAAAUUAAAUAGCAAUGGGUGUGGUGCAUAUGCAAAUUACUAAACAUACCCAGUCCCCAUUUCCCCCAUUAUGAAAUGCCUACAGCUAUAAAUCCCUGACUUUACAAGCUGCUCAGCCUCUAAUACCAUCUUUGUCAUUGUAACGAGGCCAAAAGAAUGGAAGAUGGAGCAACAUCAGCUCAUCUCCAGUUUUUCAAUGCAUUUUGUAGGGGUCUUUGCAUGUAAGACGUGAUCCAGCUCUAAAAAUGACCUGUGCUUGGGGCACACUCAUCACUGCUAUUUUCAAAGGCGGGAUCAGUGCUUUUCUGAAGGAAAUAUGACGACUGCUCUCCUGACUGACCUACCUGGCACUGUCACAGCAGUGAGACAGAAAAACAGCGUGAGCUGAGCCUCAGGGAGGGCUGGGCUUCACACACAGGCUCUCCGUGGCUCAGGGCAGGAGGUUGGGCUGGUGAAGCUUUA
This is a non-coding RNA of Meleagris gallopavo (turkey), 2311 nucleotides long. The record is from RefSeq and is a predicted model, not a curated record. NCBI's taxonomy places the organism in Eukaryota, Metazoa, Chordata, Aves, Galliformes, Phasianidae.